This 230-nucleotide long non-coding RNA is filed under the name Oryza brachyantha (malo sina). RNAcentral's name for it is "long non-coding RNA (OBRA_LNC000787)". Lineage: Eukaryota; Viridiplantae; Streptophyta; Magnoliopsida; Poales; Poaceae. The record is from RNAcentral.
CACGAAAUCGCUGUAGUUACAGACAAACAGCCUGCUUGCUUGCUUGCUUUCUUGGUUGGUUGGUUGGUUAGACACAGCACCGGUCACCGGAAUCGCCGCGAGACUUUCUCUGUUCCUCUUGCUUGGUUGCUUCGCCAUUGGCGCGGCGACGUCGAGCAGAGUUGCUUUAAUGAAUCCAUAAAUUUGGUUGACGGGUUUAAGAAAAGGCAAUAAAAAAAAAGGAAAAGGAC